RNAcentral lists this ribosomal RNA (420 nucleotides) under uncultured Nostoc sp. RNAcentral's name for it is "bacterial SSU rRNA". It matches the Rfam family "Bacterial small subunit ribosomal RNA", at positions 56 to 516 of the family's 1533-position model. Lineage: Bacteria; Bacillati; Cyanobacteriota; Cyanophyceae; Nostocales; Nostocaceae. The record is from RNAcentral.
UGCCCAAGUUCGAACGGGACUCUUCGGAUUCAGUGGCGGACGGGUGAGUAACGCGUGAGAAUCUGCCUUCAGGUUCGGGACAACCCCUGGAAACGGUGGCUAAUACCGGAUGUGCUAUACAGUAAAAGAUUUAUCGCCUGAAGAUGAGCUCGCGUCUGAUUAGCUAGUUGGUGAGGUAAAAGCUCACCAAGGCGACGAUCAGUAGCUGGUCUGAGAGGAUGACCAGCCACACUGGGACUGAGACACGGCCCAGACUCCUACGGGAGGCAGCAGUGGGGAAUUUUCCGCAAUGGGCGAAAGCCUGACGGAGCAAGACCGCGUGAGGGAGGAAGGCCCUUGGGUUGUAAAGCUCUUUUCUCAGGGAAGAAGAAAGUGACGGUACCUGAGGAAUCAGCCUCGGCUAACUCCGUGCCAGCAGCC